CAGAGCGUAGCUUAAACUAAAGCGACUAGUUUACACCUAGAAGAUCUCAUUUAAACUGACCGCUCUGA
RNAcentral lists this transfer RNA (68 nucleotides) under Ia io (Great evening bat). RNAcentral describes it as "tRNA-Val". It matches the Rfam family "tRNA". From Rfam's summary of the family: Transfer RNA (tRNA) molecules are approximately 80 nucleotides in length. Their secondary structure includes four short double-helical elements and three loops (D, anti-codon, and T loops). The record is from RNAcentral. Lineage: Eukaryota; Metazoa; Chordata; Mammalia; Chiroptera; Vespertilionidae.